Molecule: ribosomal RNA, 427 nt
Filed under: uncultured bacterium
Lineage: Bacteria
Description: bacterial SSU rRNA
Rfam family: Bacterial small subunit ribosomal RNA
Source: RNAcentral
UAGGGAAUAUUGGACAAUGGGGGCAACCCUGAUCCAGCCAUGCCGCGUGAGUGAAGAAGGCCCUCGGGUUGUAAAGCUCUUUUGUCCGGAAAGAAAAGCUUCGGGUUAAUACCCCGGGGUUCUGACGGUACCGGAAGAAUAAGCACCGGCUAACUUCGUGCCAGCAGCCGCGGUAAUACGAAGGGUGCAAGCGUUACUCGGAAUUACUGGGCGUAAAGCGUGCGUAGGUGGUUGUUUAAGUCUGAUGUGAAAGCCCUGGGCUCAACCUGGGAAUGGCAUUGGAAACUGGGCAGCUAGAGUGCGGUAGAGGGUAGUGGAAUGCCCGGUGUAGCAGUGAAAUGCGUAGAGAUCGGGAGGAACACCUGUGGCGAAGGCGACUGCCUGGACCAGCACUGACACUGAGGCACGAAAGCGUGGGGAGCAAACA